RNAcentral lists this long non-coding RNA (2611 nucleotides) under Dasypus novemcinctus (nine-banded armadillo). RNAcentral's name for it is "lncRNA (ENSDNOG00000051399.1)". Lineage: Eukaryota; Metazoa; Chordata; Mammalia; Cingulata; Dasypodidae. The record is from RNAcentral.
GGUCUACUGAGAGAGAAAAACUUCAUGAGCAGUGACACUCAAAACAAAAUGGUGCCAGAGUCCCAAUAACCCUGUGCUCACAGCUGCUUAUAAAGCCAUUUAGGGAAUUUCUAGGGGUGUGGGUUACAAAGGCCAAUGCACACUAGAGUUCCUUAUUACAUAGAAGGGUUUUACAGAACGGGGCCAGGUAUCCACUGAUUAGUCUGCUCUGAUUCGCUAUCUCUACUGGACCAAAAGCAGCUCAUCUCCAGGUGUGCCUUACCUGCAGUUUUGUAGAGAGCAUUCCAUGUUCUCAGAAAGCCCCCACAGUGGUUUGCUUUUGGUCUUCUUCACAGUCCCUGUGAUUUCCUGGAAGGUGGUGGCUCCUGGCAACACCUAAAGCAGGAGGCCAUUUCAUUUUAUCACAUCUAAUAUCCCACCCAGUUUAAGGAUACCUAACAGGGUUAACCAUGAGGAUUGUUAAAGGAAAACUGCACGGGCCUUGUUCAACCGGCAAGUAUGACUUUAUUCAUAGUUACUACGGUAGGGAAGAGAAAAUAAAACGCAACUCCGAGAUAGGGGUGGGGUGGGGAGUGAGCUUUGAGUUUCAGAGUCAGGGCAAGGGCAGUGGAAAAGUACCAGUAAAUCAUCCGCCAAAAGAGCGGAAGGAGAAGGGGCAGGUUGGUAAGUAGUAUCGGAAGUUGUCCUUUUUAACUUUUUUUUUUCUUUUCCCCACCCCUCUGCAGUCUGAGUUGUUUUGCGCUUCAGUCCUAAAUCUACAAGGUUAGAUUCUAGGUCGCCGAGGCGGGGAGGGAGCGGGCAGAGGCGCUUGAGGAGGAAGCCCCGCAACUGGGACAAGACAAAGAAAUAAUAACCUACCCUUGGGCAGAACAAAGGAAGGAGCCGUUCUGCAGUGGGGAGGACGCUGUCCUAUCCGCGGAGGAGAAGAGCACAGGACAGACGGGGCUGGCGUCGCGGUCGCCCUGGGGCUCGAGUUCAAGUCUGAACGGGAAGCGCUGCGGCAGCGCGGGUGGGGCUGAGGCCCGGGGCGCGCGCAGGCCCCCCGCUCCCCGCUCCCCGGACUCCCGCCCGCUCCGCGCCCCGCGGCCGCGCCCGCCCGCCUGCGCCCCGCCCUGCGGCGCUGGGGCCCGCGGUCACUCGGGGUCCGGGUUUCGCCACCAGAAAGUUCUUCCUGGCAGGCGUCGGAGUCAGUACCGCAAAGGAGCAUUGAUACGUCAGCCUGCUUCAGUUAACCUCUUGUUUUAAUGAAUGAAAUGGAAGCUCAAGCAAAUCGAGAUGAUGUGGCUGCUGUUACAACUAAGCUUCUGAAGGCCAUGGUUUGGGGAUAUCUGACAAGACCAAAAACAUACCUGGAACAGCUCCAUUGGGACUUAUGAAUAGGAAAGGGUCUCUGAAGGUGGAGGUUUGGAGAAUGAAGACAGUGCUCCAUGACGAUCAGGAAAAUAGGUGCAAAAUAGAGAGUCUCCACACAAGUACAUUUUGUAAGAGUUUUUGUUGGGGUCACGUGAAACACAUAAAUGAGGUCUGAUGAUGUUAUUGUAGGAAGGAAAUAUACAGCCUUGAGAAAAUUACUCUAUGACACCAUCUGUCCGUUGUUUUCCUUUGGGGAUGUCUGUUACAUUUUCACUUGUGUCCUGGAGCAUGAUUUCUGGGAGCUGAAUUUCCCUUAGGGAGGGAGAGGCAGGUCAGGGGUCCAAGGGACCUCCACCGUCCACUCCUGUGCAGCAGCCCAUGUUGGCCAUAGGACACACCCUGCAUCCACCUUUCACAGUAACAGUACAGCAUACAACAGAAUAGCAAGAGUCCUCCGUCAAAAGCUAGUCAACCUAUAAAGACAUGUGGCCAGAGCCAAGAGAGGGAGUUAAACCAGAAUUAACAGGGGGUUAAUAGCUAAUUUAUCAAUAUGACUGAUGUGCUCUUACGUAUGAUUUGAAACUUCAGGGACAUUGAGAGUGAUGAGGAAUAUUCACACAAUAUUGAGAGGGUAUUGUUCCAUACUUUUUGAUGAGUUGUAUUCUGCCAUGCCAGCACGGUGUUCCGUAUUGUCCAAUUUGCAGGAGUUAAGGUGCAAGGCAUAUUGUGCUGAUCUAACAGUAUACAAGCAACAUUUCCAUUAGCAGAUAAAGUACCAGGUAGGGGAGUCUUAUGAGGAUGCCUUUAAUACCAUACAUUUCCUCCCUUUAAAUUCUUUGAGUUUUCUAUGGUAAAAUAAAAGACUAAUUUAGGCAUAAGGUUAGCCCACAUAGACACACAUAGGGCCUCACCUAUUUGCUGUCCUGAUUGGUUGCCUUUCUCUACCUUUACUUGUCAGCUUUUCGGGAACCAGUGGGGAGGCCUUUCUGUUUGGAGUUAUUACAGACUUUUGAGCCUGGGACUUUCAAACGGGACCUUACGACUAGGGUCUUUGUUGGGCUUUAUUUUGACCAGCUGCUUUCCCUGUUUCCUAUACUAACCUGCCUCAGCAUUCCGCUCAGAGAAUUCAUAUCCUUAUUCUUAAGGGGGAGCUGAAGGGUGACUGUCAUUUUUCUAUAGCUGCUUCCUGCUGGUUAGGGGCAGUAUUCCCUGCCUGUUGGGAUGUGAAAUUCUCUGGCUAUUCUGUUGAGGUGAGAGA